CCCCUCUCAGGGUCACACCUGGAGAGUUUCCAGUACUCUACCAGUCUUGACUUUGGGAGGGAGAGUCAAGCAGAGGCAUACUCAUUCCAUUCCUAGCUUGGGCAGUAGCUAGCAAGUGGAAGGCAAUCUGCUACAAGU
Molecule: small nucleolar RNA, 138 nt
Filed under: Ornithorhynchus anatinus (platypus)
Lineage: Eukaryota; Metazoa; Chordata; Mammalia; Monotremata; Ornithorhynchidae
Source: RNAcentral